GCAUAUCAAUAAGCGGAGGAAAAGAAACUAGCAAGAAGGAUUCUCUUAGUAAUGGUAAGUGAACUGGGAAAAGCUUAUUUAAAGUGAUUAAGGUUUUCCUAAUGAGUUAUAAUUUGAAGAAAGUGGUUUUGAUAUUUAGGUUUAUCUAAAUUCUUUGGGAUGAGGUUACUUAAUUCAUUUUCUAAGAGUCGAGUUAAUUUGGAAUUGCAGCUCAAAAUAGAUAAUAAAUUUCAUCUAAGGCUAAAUAUAUGCAAGAGACCGAUAGUGAAAAAAAGAGAGUUAAAUAGUAUAUGAAAUUGUAGAUUUAAAUCAGUCAUGCUAGUGAGAAAUCAACUCAGUAGUUCUUUUUCACAUGUAUUUUCUUGCCUGGAGAGUUAUAUCAAUUUUGUUUAUCAUUAAAUGAUCAGGUAAUAUGGUUUCUCUUUGGAGUAGUGCUAUAUACCUUGGUAGAUAUAAUGAUUGGGAUUGAGAAUUGCAGUGAAUACUAUUUGUCCAGUCCCCUGAUUUCUAAUGGUCAUCUCACCUUUGACAGCUUGCUAAGAUGGGUAGGUUUUGAUUGUUUAAAUGUUAAAGUAAUUAUAUAUUUGCUAAGAAUAUUGACGUAAUGGCUUUAAACGAC
This 619-nucleotide ribosomal RNA is filed under the name uncultured Acaulospora. Its description in RNAcentral is "eukaryotic LSU rRNA". The stretch from base 1 to 280 matches the Rfam family "Eukaryotic large subunit ribosomal RNA", at positions 38 to 358 of the family's 3401-position model. Lineage: Eukaryota; Fungi; Glomeromycota; Glomeromycetes; Diversisporales; Acaulosporaceae. The record is from RNAcentral.